CCUGUCGGGCCCGCACUAGCACACAGGAAAAUGGGCCAUAUUCCUGUGCGUCUGGCGAAAGCUCACAGAAAAAAAAUAUUGCUGUCGGUCCUGGCCCGGCCCACAGGACUAACCAAUUUCCCUGGCGUGCGUAACCCACAGCGAAAAUGAAACCCAUGUUUGGCGCCAUGAAUUCAGCCACGCGCGCCAAAACAAAGCCCGUCCAGCCGCUGAUCGAGCUAAUUUUUGGGCUGCCGCUCACCGGUUGGAAACUUGGAAUAAAAGCCCGAGUGAAAAAAAAUCUCAGUCAUUCCCCACCGAGCCAGCCAGCGGCGCCCCCAAAUCCCAGAUCUGGCAGCCGCCAGCCAGCGGUGUCCCAAAUCCCUCGUCGUUCCUAGGCUGAUGCGCCCCAAAUCCGUCGCCAACCUGCUGCGCCCCAAAUCCUCGUCGCCGGAUGCGCCUCCUCCAACCUCUCGCCCGCCCCAUUCGCUAUGUUCGCUGGGUUGCCGAACAAGGAAUGGUCGCCUUCGGAAUAUCGCCGUCAACUUCGCCUCUACCUCCAGAGGGUCGUCGUCAAAGUACCCGCCGGUGUCGUCAGUCGAUUGCUAUCGCAUCCUUGUUUGAGUGCCACCCCUUUCCAUCCAGAUUCACCAGAAAAUAACGAGAAUUGUCUCCUUCCUCAUUUGCUGGGUACUGAUAGAAGGAAAUGACUUUAUACAGACAUUGGUUUUGAAUAGGCCAAGGUUACAGGACUCCUAAAACAUCACUUCUUCAGAGGAGGGAAACAGAGUUGAACUGUUAAUUGUAAAGGGACAAUUGAUCCAUCGCAUGGAAAGUACAAGGAAGAUGAUCAGCACAACAAGGAAGAUCAAUAAAGGCAAGAAAUUAUAAAUAUUCUUCUGAAUAAAGAGGGUAACCUUGAAGAGAAGGUUGCAACUUAAGCUGUAACAAAACAUUAUGAAAAGAGGUCUCACGCCGUGAAUAUUUAGUUGAUGCACUAGUGUUUUUAGAUGUUGCGCCUCUGUUUUCAUUGUCCUUUGAUUCAUGUAUGCAAGUUCGAUGGAAUUGUAUCCGAAGUAUGUGAAUUGGUAACUCUAUGGUUGAUGGAAGCUAUUGAUAGUGAUGUUUCUCUGUUCUAAACAUUCAGAGUAAUGAAAUGGCUAUGUCUAA
Long non-coding RNA from Aegilops tauschii subsp. strangulata, 1149 nucleotides. RefSeq lists it as uncharacterized. NCBI's taxonomy places the organism in Eukaryota, Viridiplantae, Streptophyta, Magnoliopsida, Poales, Poaceae. The record is from RefSeq and is a predicted model, not a curated record.